CACAAAAUUGUAUUAUGACAAUUUUUUGACAAUAAAAGAAUCUGAGAAAGUUUGCAAGCAAUGAACUGCGCAACAGCGAUAAUUCUCCACCUUAGAACAGUGUCAUGUUACAUAAUCCUGUAGAGAAAGAACCAGCUUCCUGCGUCCAACCAGUGAACAGAAACCUGGUCUUCUCUCUCUCUGGUUCUUCUUGUCACUGUAUCCUCUCUCUCUCUCUCUCUCUCUCUCUCUC
This 232-nucleotide long non-coding RNA is filed under the name Phoenix dactylifera (date palm). Its description in RNAcentral is "long non-coding RNA (PDAC_LNC004451)". The record is from RNAcentral. Lineage: Eukaryota; Viridiplantae; Streptophyta; Magnoliopsida; Arecales; Arecaceae.